Molecule: small RNA, 36 nt
Filed under: Bombyx mori (domestic silkworm)
Lineage: Eukaryota; Metazoa; Arthropoda; Insecta; Lepidoptera; Bombycidae
Description: ovarian small RNA-4769
Source: RNAcentral
CCAGAGAUUGCCUGGGUAGGCCGCACCGAGCAGCAG